AGCGUUUAGCGGCGGACGGGUGAGUAACACGUGGGCAACCUGCCCUGCAGAUCGGGAUAACUCCGGGAAACCGGUGCUAAUACCGAAUAGUUUGAAGCCUCACCUGAGGCUUCACGGAAAGACGGUUUCGGCUGUCACUGCAGGAUGGGCCCGCGGCGCAUUAGCUAGUUGGUGGGGUAACGGCCCACCAAGGCCACGAUGCGUAGCCGACCUGAGAGGGUGACCGGCCACACUGGGACUGAAACACGGCCCAGACUCCUACGGGAGGCAGCAGUAGGGAAUCUUCCGCAAUGGACGCAAGUCUGACGGAACAACGCCGCGUGAGUGACGAAGGUUUUCGGAUCGUAAAACUCUGUUGUGAGGGAAGAACACGUACCAACUAACUAUUGGUACCUUGACGGUACCUCACCAGAAAGCCACGGCUAACUACGUGCCAGCAGCCGCGGUAAUACGUAAGUGGCAAGCGUUGUCCGGAAUUAUUGGGCGUAAAGCGCGCGCAGGCGGUUCCUUAAGUCUGAUGUGAAAGCCCACGGCUCAACCGUGGAGGGUCAUUGGAAACUGGGGAACUUGAGUGCAGAAGAAGAAAGUGGAAUUCCACGUGUAGCGGUGAAAUGCGUAGAGAUGUGGAGGAACACCAGUGGCGAAGGCGACUUUCUGGUCUGUAACUGACGCUGAGGCGCGAAAGCGUGGGGAGCAAACAGAUUAGAUACCCUGGUAGUCCACGCCGUAAACGAUGAGUGCUAAGUGUUAGGGGUUUCCGCCCCUUAGUGCUGCAGCUAACGCAUUAAGCA
Molecule: ribosomal RNA, 791 nt
Filed under: Planococcus sp. (in: firmicutes)
Lineage: Bacteria; Bacillati; Bacillota; Bacilli; Caryophanales; Caryophanaceae
Description: bacterial SSU rRNA
Rfam family: Bacterial small subunit ribosomal RNA
Source: RNAcentral